Ribosomal RNA from Rana temporaria (common frog), 155 nucleotides. RefSeq annotates it as 5.8S ribosomal RNA. The record is from RefSeq and is a predicted model, not a curated record. NCBI's taxonomy places the organism in Eukaryota, Metazoa, Chordata, Amphibia, Anura, Ranidae. The transcript has a single exon.
GACUCUUAGCGGUGGAUCACUCGGCUCACGCGUCAAUGAAGAACGCAGCUAGCUGCGAGAAUUAGUGUGAAUUGUAGGACACAUUGAUCAUUGACACUUUGAUCGCACCUUGCGGCCCCCGGGUUCCUCCCGGGGCCGCGUCUGUCUGAGGGUUG